Long non-coding RNA from Sus scrofa (pig), 8854 nucleotides. RefSeq lists it as uncharacterized. The record is from RefSeq and is a predicted model, not a curated record. NCBI's taxonomy places the organism in Eukaryota, Metazoa, Chordata, Mammalia, Artiodactyla, Suidae.
GACACGACGCCCCCGCGCCCGCCCCGCCCGCCGACCCCGAGCCCCGGCCCGCGGCAGGCCAGCUCCGCGGUCUCUCCCGGCCGGCGGCGGCGGCAGCCCCGGUGGGGCGGGAGGGAGAGAGGGCCGAGGCUGCGGGCCCCGAAGGGCCGCCCGGGCCUUCGGCGGCCCCGCAGCUAAAAUGGCCUCCCGCGGCCUCGGAGCCGAGCCGCCUCCCCCGCCCGGCGGGCAGCGGGAGGGAGCCGAGACCGCGGCCCCCCAGUCCCCGCCCCCGCCGGGCCGGUCCCCACCUCCGGGCCCCCACCCGCUGGGGGACGGAGAGGGUGGGCGAGGGAGCCUCGGGAAGAGUGCGAGUCGCACCGCCCGCCGGCCGCCUCCGCGCCGCCUCCCGCGCACCGGUCCUUGCCCGGUGCACGGGCCCCCGAGCCCAGAUAACGUGUUGUUUUCUCGGGUACUUUCUCCUCCGUUCCGUGGCGUCCCUCGCUAACAAACUGCGGGUGUCACCUCAUUCAUUUGGUUCCUUUAGUUUUCCCUCCAAGGAGAGAGGUAAACGUACCAACCACCUGUGAAUUGGGUGGUUGGUAGACUGGAAAAGAUGUGUGAAGUUUCUAGUGCUGAUAAAUGAGUCCACAGCCUUGUUCUAGGUAUUGCGUUUAGGCUCCAGGUGGGCCAAUAAUUCCCCUUGACGCGUCUUUCCCCUCUGGGGAAAAGAAAAGUGCAAGGGAGGUGCUGAGUUAGUGAGAUGCAUCAUCUGAAAUCUCUACCUUAAGGGAAGCUUUAAUUUCUGAAGUGUCUAUUUCGCUGUAUAUCUUAACAAGAGUAAGAAAAACACUAGAUUGUGUUGUUAUUGUUACUUUUGAGUCAGUCUGGGACAGUCUCUUUAGACUCAGGCCUUAAGCGUACUGUGAUCAGUUUUUUAUAUCGAGAGAUUAUUAUAUUAGAUAUCUGUGUGUACCAGGUAAAUUAGCUAUUGGUCAAACCCAGAUAGUUUUAUCUCCUUCACUUGGGGUGGCAAGCUAUCCAAUGGAAAUGGUUAUCAUUGGGAACCUGAAGACCUGGGUUCCAGUCUUUCUCCUCCUGAUUUUAUGAUUUUGAGGACAUCUCUUAUUUGGACUUUCAUUUUUCUCAUCUGUAAAUUGGGCUGUUUUGGGGGGCUAAAACUUGUAAUUCUGAGGAGUAGAGUUGCCAUAUUUCAUGGAAUUUAUAAGAUGCCAUUUAUUGUAAGGGAGGGGUAUCAUUAUUUUACGUGUUCCUAAAAAACACUACCGAUUAAAAUAUGACUCUGCUUAAGACCCCAUUGAUUUUUAAGAGAUGAUAAAAUAUAUAAAUAUGUAUUUUAUUGAUGAAUUUGGUAUUUUACUAAUUGUUGAAUGCCUUGAACACAUGUGGCAUUUUUUACAAGUCUCUUUUACCUUGAAGUUUAUUUUCGGAAAACGGACUGAGAUGACAAAUUAUUGGGGCAAAAUUUUGGGGCUUUUCAGACAUGAAAAAAUCCUUUGCUUACAAGUUGUGAUAAUUAAACAUCUAACACAGUCUCAGCUACUUUGAUAAAAAGCUGAUAAUUUUUGUGGAGAGAGAGGAAAAAAGCCAUUUUCUGGGAAACAAGAGCUAGCUAAUCAGCAUCUGUACCAUAAAUCUAUGGCUACUAAGUAUUGUGUGUUCUAGACGAGGCUGUAUUUAACCACUUACAUUUUAAUUGUUUUACACAGUAUUUUUCUGUUACUAUGGGCAGAGUGAUAGAUUUGUUUGAUUACUGUUUACUGAAAAUGCAACAGGAUUGUUCUUUGUGGCAGUUCUGAAAUAUUUUUUCUAAUGUAGUCCUAUAGAUAGAAAUGAGGGGGAGGAAAUGCCAAUUUAAAGAUAAUCAUUUUUUGAUAAAAUAUUUGCAUGUAUGUAUUUUAUCCUAAUAUAAGAAGCUAUUGCAGAUUUUCUGUGCCUAGUUUCUCCUUAGCUUUGAAUCGCAAAGUUUCAGUAAACUGUAAUGGCAAUUCAAAAUAUUAAGUUGCUUGUUAUGUGUAUGUCUAAUGAGAAAAGACCAGUCUUUUGACAUUACUUAUUUAUGCAUAUAUUGGCAAAACUAAUUGUUAAGAGUCUCUGUCUUUGUUUAUAACAUAGUAUAUGGAAAUUGUUUGCUUUUAAUGGAAAGAAAUCUCGUCCAAUAAUGCUAAUACUUUGGCUCAAGGAAGAUGAACAAAUAGCAUUAAUAAUAAAAGCAUAUGUAAAAAUGGUUUGAUGAUGCUGAUCUUUCUUCCUGUCUAGAAAUCAUUGAAAUGUGAUUUUAGACAUGGAAGACCAAGACUGACUUUGAAAAAAAAUUUCUUUUUCUCAAUUUGAAGGCUGUAAACUCAAGGAAAUCUUAAACAUAUAUAUGUGGAUUAUGUGAAUAGUUCCUUCACCUGUCACUGAAUACAGAUAACUAAAAGUAACUAUAUACUAAGUCGAUUUAAUUCUGGAUUUUAUUUUUCUUGGUUAGAGCUGUGUAAGGUAUUUGAUUAAAUUUAUUUUAAAUUCAGACUUCUUUUUGGUUGUUAAUAUUUGAGAUUUAUAAUGACAUACUAAAUAUCAGUUCUUUAAGAGGUGUUAUAAAGAUCUCUUAUAAGUUCUGCUGCUAAUAACUUAGAUAAAUCAAGCUUUUCCUUUGUAUGAUGCAUAUUAAAUAUUUUUGUGGUAAGCAUUUGCUCAAUCCUUGUGCUGCACGUUCCAUCAACUAUUGAAUGUUUUUCUUCCUGCUUUCUGUAUUUUUCCAAGGCUAGUAAAUAAACAUAUUGUGCCAUUUGCCACUUUUGCAAAUGUAAUCUUUUCAUUUUUUCUUACCUUUCAUGUGUUUUUUUUUUACCCCCUUGGAAAUGAAAUUAAAAGAGAUUUUCAGGAGUUCCCAUUGUGGCUCAGCGGGUUAAGAACCCGGCUAGUGGAGUUCUGGUUUUGGUGCAGCAGAAACAAGACCUACUAGUAUCCAUGAGGACGCAGGUUUGAUUCCUGGCCUCAUUCAGUGGGUUAAGGAUCUGGUGUUACCUUGAGCUGUGGUGUAGGUCACAGAUAUGACUUGCUUGGAUCCUGCAUUGCUGUGUCUGUGGCGUAGGCCAGCAGCUGCAGCUCUGAUUUGACCCUUAGCCUGGGAACUUCCACAUGCCACAGCAAAAAAAAAAAAAAAAAAAAGAGAUUUUCAAGUAUUAUUAUGUUUAUAUGUUUCUAGUAGGAUGUUAAUUUGGAGUGCAUAGGACAAAGCAGAUCUCUAGAAUAAUGGAAAAAAUAGGAAUAGCUUCAUGGGACAAAAGGAACUUGGGUAGGUACCUACUUCAGUUAGAGUACCUUUUUUUUGUUGAAGAAAAUAUUCUUAAAAACUUGUAGACAGGAGUUCCUGUUGUGGCUCAGCGGUUAACGAACCCAACUAGCAUCCAUGAGGAUGCAGGUUCUAUCCCUGGCCUUUCUCAGUGGGUUAAGGAUCUGGUGUUACCAUGAGUGGUGGCGUAGGCCAGUGGCUGCAGCUCCAAUUCUACCCCUGGCCUGGGACCCUCCAUGUGCCGCAGGUGUGCCCCUAAAAAGACAAAAAACAAAAACAAAAAACUUGUAGACAGUAAUAUUAUGAUCUUGGAAAAAACUGCUUUACAGAUGUAGGACUUAGGGUAGCAAAGUAUGUGAGAAAGGUUAUUCUCAGUGGAAAAAACUUUCUAAUUAAUAUUUUCAUAGGAUCAAAUCAGUUUUUUGCGUCUCCAUCAUUAUACAGAAGUUCAGUUUUUUACAAGAAUUUGUGGCAUAAAUAAAUAUUCUAUGUAUGUGUGAUAUAACCUAACAUAAUCUCAUUGUUUUUCACUAUUAAUAGGAUAUAACCACUUCGUUGAGAGUUUUAAACAGCCAGUUUCUCUUACACUUUAGCAAAGCUUGGACAUACCAGUUCUUGUCACCUUUCUUAUCCAAGAUACUUAUCUGUUACCUGCAUGACCUAAAUCUUUAGCUUGUGCUUAAACUCAUUUUCUUUGUUCUAUCUAUAAAUCUUAGUGUAUCAUUGAUAUCUGAAUGUUAUUCUACCUUCAAUAAAGUUAGCUAUUUAAAAUAAUCAUUUGGCAACUUUUUUUUUUUUACCCUUUUAAUAUCAGAAUUUAUUGAGUUCAAAGAUUUUGGAGUAAAUGAUUAUUUAAAGGGGCAAAGUAAUUACCACCAUACUCUAGAGUCACAGCAAAUGUUGUUAUAUAAUAAAUAUUUAAGUGGAUUUCGACUGUUGACUGGACAUUAGUUUAAGUUAAGCAUCUGCUAGUCAAAAGAGGGCAUCUCAUCUAAUGAUUCUUGAGAUGUCUUUAGGAUAUCUAUUCCUAAAGGAUAAGUGUCUCUUCACAUCACUAAGAUAGUUGAUUAGGCUGAUUAGUGAAUUUCCCUUUUUUUCUUUUUUAAAAAUUUCAGUGUAGAGUUAAGAAUAUUGUAUCUUAAAGGGAAGAAUGAAAGUAACAUUAGUAAGGAAGAAAAAAGUAAUCACUAGCUGAGAUGGUGAAAAAAAAGUGAACAGGUUUUUUAAACCAAUCUUAGUGAUGGAAAUUUACUGGCUCUACAAAAAAAAAUUUGCUGCAAUAGCUAAUUAUAUCAGAUCGUCCAUUGUUGAAUCAGAGGUCUUAGGAUUCCUAUUGCAUGAAUGAAUUUGAAAUAAUGAAAAUUUUCUCUCCAAAAGUAUUAUUGCUGUUAGAGUGAUGAUUUAUCCUGUAUGUGUUAUUAAUAGCCUUAAGAGUACAGUGAGCCAGAAUAGCCCUGUAUAGAAUGCCUAAGGCGUAUGCUUGACUGUGCUUUUAUACCUUGCCUCACAAUACAAUAUGAUGAAAAGGGCAUGAGCUAGUCAGACUUUGAAUUUGACUUUCAGCUGUAUUUCUUCAGACACUUGGCCAAGUCACUUAAUCUUUCUACAGCUCAGUUUCCUCACCUAACUUGCAACUUCCUAGCCUACUGCCUUUUUUUGAAUAGGCAUUUUACCAAUGCUCGUUUUCUAUAGUGAUUUGAAUAAUACUGUAAGGGUUUUAAAAGAUAUCCUUAGUUGAUGUCUGUCAUACUUAAUAUAUAGAGCUUCAUAAUCUCAAAAUAUUUUAAAAGUAGAUCCUUGAAUAUUAAUUGGAGGCCUCGGUUUCAAUAUCAGUUUAAUAGGGAAGAAGGGGAAUUUUUUUUUUUCUUUUUACAGCUGCACCUGUAGCAUUUGGAAGCUCCCAGGCCAGGGGUCAAAUCUGAGCUGCAGCCUAUGCCACAGCCAUAGCAACACUGGUCCUUAACCCACUGAGCCACAAUGGGAACUCCAGGAAGUUUUUUAUUAUUUGUAAGCAACAUGAUUAUAAUCACAGACAAAUAUGGGAAAUAAUAAGAGUUCAGCAAAUGUUCUUGAUCUAAGAUCAGGGAAAUAUUGGUAACACUCCUGUUUUCAGCAAUGUUGAAUUUGAUUAUUGAAUUUCAAAUAAGUUCCUUAUAUAUAGCCACAAAACUUAAGUAGAAAUAAAACUAAUGAGACAUGCAGAACACUUUAAGGAAAAAAUACAAUGGGCUAUAAAGGAUAUAAAAGAAGACAUAAAUGAAGAUGGGCUCUGUUCAUAGAGUGAAAAAAAAAAUCAAUAGUAUCAAAUUAUCAAUUUUCUCUUUAGUCUGUAUUUAAUGUAAUUCCAAGAAAAAUCUCAGGAGGCUUAUGGGGUAACUUGAUAAAGGAAUUCAUGUGGAUGGUGAAGAGAGUAUUUGUUCAGAAGUAGUCAUGAAACCAAACGUUAUUAAACAGAAAAUUGUAUUGGUAGAGGGACAAAUAGGUCAUUGGCUUAAAAUUGAGAUCUUAAGGAGUUCCCUUGUGGCCCAGUGAGGUAAGGGUCCGGUGUUAUCACUGCUGGGACUCAGGUCACUGCUACGGUGCAGGUUCCAUCCCUGGCCUCAAAACUUUGGAGUACUGAGAUCUCAGAAAUAUAAGUGCUCGUGGGCAGUUGGAUUAUAAUAUAUAUGGGUGUUUAAGUAGAGGUAUUUAUCCAAAAAGCAAAUCAACCAAAUGAUUAUUCAGAAAUCUGCUCUCGGGAUAAUGAGUUCCCAUUGUGACUCAGUGGGUUUAAGACCCCGUUCAUAUGCAUGAGGAUGCAGGGAUCGAACCCGCAACAUCAUGGUUCCUAGUCAGAUUCGUUAACCACUGAGCCACAAUGGGAAAUCCCUUCAAGGAUUAAAUUUUUUUUAAAUUCUCUAUUAAAGUAUAUAUAAAAAGAACUACAUAUAUAAUGAGUGUAGCUUGAUGAAAUGUCAUAAACUGGUCACACCUGUAUAACCAACACCCAGAUCAAAAAAACAGCAUUAUCAGCAUCCCAGGAGACCUCUAUAUUCUCCAUUAUGUUUUGAGAAUUCAGUGAGAUAAUAUUUAUAAAGUACUCAGAAAAGUUCCUGCAUUCAUUUAUUACAUCUUCAUCAGUGUUAGCUAUCCAGUAGGCAUUUGGAAAUGGAGCUCAGGAAAGGAAUAAGGGUUAUGUAAAUCUGAAUAUUACCCAUAUGGUGCUGAGCAAUCAUUAUACCUGUGUGUAUGGAUGCAAUGAGAGAAAGUAAACAGCUGGCAUACAUCAAACAUUUAGUAAACACUUUUUGAAUGAAUGAAAAAAAGAAAUAGAGCCAUGUUUACAAAUUUGGGAAUCAUGUGUUUAUGGUAGGGCUGGAGAAAUAAAUACUGGGCCAGGGUUGGAGGUGGUGGACAGAGAGCUGGGAGAAUGCAGUGUCAUAAAAACCAGAAGAGGAUAGAGAGGUAGUCAGUAAUGUUAGGGCUAUAGAGAGGCUGGAUAAAAGAUUAGUAGUUAUCAAAAUCAUUGGUAUAAUUUUUUUUCAUUUUUUAAAGUUUUAUUGAAGUGUAGUUGAUUUACAAGGUUGUAAUAAUUAUUGGUGUAAUUUUAAUUGGUAACCAUUAUACAAAAACUAGAAUCUGAUCACUUGGAGCUGCAGAAAGACAGGCAUAAAAUUGGUUUUGUAGUCCAGUCAAAUUCUUGAGGGUCUUAGGUGUUAAAUGGGCUUAAAGUGUGAGUUCCUGUUGUGGCUCAAUGUGGGAUUGCUCCCUGGCUCUGCUCAAUAGGUUAAGGAUCUCACAUUUCUGUGAGCUGCGGUGUAGGUUGCAGAUGCAGCUCGGAUCCCAUGUUGCUCUUGCUGUGGUGUAGGCUGCCUGCUAUAGCUCCAAUUCAGUUGUAAGCUGGGGAACUUACAUAUGCCAUACCUGUGGCCCUAAAAAAAAUUGAAAAAUAAAUGGGCUUAAAGUAUUGGAAAACACCGUGUUUGAAGAGCAAUUAAAUGAAAAUAGAAUUUUAAAUUUAUUUUUUUAUUUCUGGGAAAAGAUAUAUUGUAUAAAAUGCUUUACUUUGGUGUGGUAGCAUUAAAUGGGCAGAGAACUUUUUUUUAAUCUUUUUAGGUUCACACCCACAGCAUAUGAAGGUUCCCAGGCUAGGGGUCAAAUCAGAGUUUAGCUGCUGGCCUACACCGAAGCAAUCUGGGGUCUGAGAUGCGUCUUUGACCUACACCACAGCUCACGGCAACAGUGGAUCCUUAACCCACUGAGUGAGGCCAGGGAUCGAACCCAAGUCCUCAUGGAUACUGGUCGGGUUCGUUAACUGCUGAGCCAUGACUGGUACUCCAAGAACUUCUUGAAAUGAGAUUUGAAGAAGUCUGCCACUUUUUGAUAGGGGGAAAAAAAACAGUAAGAAUGCAUUUUAAAAAAUAACUGUAGGUGAGGGCAAAGAAUGAUGUUAUUUAUGAAGAUGGUUUUAUUGCUGCUUUCACUCUCCAGCCUCAUCCUUCUCAAAUCAUUUUUUACUGUAAGCAGAAUGGUCACUAUAAAAAUGUAAAUUUAAUCACAACAUUCUUCUGCUGAAAAUCCUUCGUUUGCUAUCCAUUAGUUUCAGGAUGUAUGGUUAUCCUGGCUUUAUAUUUAGAGGAUUUGGGGUUAUUUUACAGGCUUACAAUUCCUUAUUCACAUUUUGGAAAUCCAAAAACUCCUGAAAACACUCCUAAUAAUUUAAAAAAAAAAAAAAAAAGGAAACUAAUAUGAAUUGGAGGUCCAGUCACGGUGCAGUGGGUUAAGAACCCAACUGAAGUGGCUCAGGUUGCUGCAGAGGUGUGGGUUUGAUUCCCAGCCUGCCACAGUGGGUUAAAGGAUCCAGCGUUGCUGCAGCUGCAGCCUAGGUCGCAGCUGUGGCUUGGAUUCAAUCCCUGGCCUGGGAACUUCCAAAUGGGGAACGGCCAUUAAAAAAAAUAGUAAUAAUGUGAAUUGAAGGAAGGCUAUUUUUAGUUCUUUAUUUUCAUCUCCGUGUGACUAUUUAUAUCUUUCCCUGAAGAAAUGUUAGAGACAUAAUGAACAAUGUGUUUUUCUAGAAUAUAGAAAGUCAUAGAGCACUUUGGUGUAAUUGAUUCAUGGUAUCCAUCAGCUUUAAUUGUACCCAAUAGCUUGUUUCUUUUUUGAGUAAUUCUGUUUACAAAUAGAGAAAAGGAUUAAUAUUACAUGAGGUUUUUUUUUUUCUAAGUGGAUUUCCAAAGAAAAUAAUUUGCUUAUUUUUCAAAAUGGAAUAAAAUCCAUUUUAACUUUUUCUUUUUUUUUUUUUUUUUGGUUCAGGUCUGGAGCAUGUGGAUGUUCCUGGGAUCAAACCUGAGCCACUGCAGUGACUAUGCUGGGUCCUUAACCCCCUGCCACAAGGGAACUCCUGGAUUUUUUUUUUUUUUAAUAAGCCUAAGAUUUAAAGUAUGGGAUCUCGUGAUCUUAUUUUUCUGUAACUUGAAACAUUUUGCUAUUUCAUAAUCUGAGGAAUUUUUUCCUUUUUACUCAUCCCUUAUCCCAACAAUGCUAUUAAAAAAAAAAAAAAAAGACAACAGGAAAAACUGUUGGAAUCACUUAGGAUGG